Molecule: ribosomal RNA, 498 nt
Filed under: uncultured bacterium
Lineage: Bacteria
Description: partial 16S ribosomal RNA
Rfam family: Bacterial small subunit ribosomal RNA
Source: RNAcentral
GACGAACGCUGGCGGCGUGCCUAAUACAUGCAAGUCGAACGAGAGCGCCCUGUGCUUUCACUGUUCAAUCUAGUGGCGAACGGGUGAGUAAGACGUGCGUCACCUGCUCCUCUUACGGGGAUAACAUCCGGGAACGGCUGCCACAACCACAUCGUUCUUCCUACGGCUUGGCUCAGAGGGUCAUCGAGCCUUGCGCUUCUGCUGGUGCCUAUACCCGCGUUGCAUUAGCUAGUUGGUGAGGUAACGGCUCACCAAGGCCGUGAUGCAUAGCCGAUCUGAGAGGGUGAUCGGCCACAUUGGAACUGAGACACGGUCCAGACUCCUACGGGAGGCAGCAGUAGGGAAUCUUGCGCAAUGGGCGCAAGUCUGACGGAGCAACGCCGCGUGAGUGAAGAAGGUUUUCGGAUCGUAAAGCUCUGUUGUUAGGGAAGAACAAGUGCUAGAGUAAAUGUUAGCGCCUUGACGGUAUCUAACGAGAAAGCCACGGCUAACUACGUG